UACGGAGGGUGCAAGCGUUGUUCGGAAUCAUUGGGCGUAAAGCGCGUGGAGGCGGCUUGGCAAGUCGGGUGUGAAAUCCCGGGGCCCAACCCCGGAACUGCAUUCGAAACUGCCUCGCUAGAGUCCCGGAGAGGAAGGCGGAAUUCCCGGUGUAGAGGAGAAAUUCGUAGAAAUCGGGAGGAACACCAGCGGAGAAGGCGGUCUUCUGGACGGUGAUUGACGAACAGACGCGAAAGCGUGGGGAGCAAACAGG
Molecule: ribosomal RNA, 253 nt
Filed under: uncultured bacterium
Lineage: Bacteria
Description: partial 16S ribosomal RNA
Rfam family: Bacterial small subunit ribosomal RNA
Source: RNAcentral